This is a non-coding RNA of Penaeus vannamei (Pacific white shrimp), 433 nucleotides long. The record is from RefSeq and is a predicted model, not a curated record. NCBI's taxonomy places the organism in Eukaryota, Metazoa, Arthropoda, Malacostraca, Decapoda, Penaeidae.
CUCAGUAUCCUUCCAGACAGUGGGGAGGUAGGGUAUAACACUUGCCUUCGUAUAAUCUCUUGCUUUCGGUGAGGUGUUGAAGUGUGUGAAGUAACAGUUGCAUAAUAAGAGCAAAAAUUAAUGGAGGAAAAUCAAGCACAAGAUUGAUAAGUAGAAACGAUUCACAGGAAGAGGCACAUCCUUUGAUACAGUGGCACAUUCACUAUAACGACAAGGGAGUGUAACGACAGCUUAUAACCAUGAAUGUAACAGUGGGGAUCCAUGGGUAUGGCGAGUAGGUAGCGAAAUACCGUAACGUGCUAGGACUGUGUCACCAUGUUUGCGAGGUCUUGCAUUGUUGUGGCAACGCUCCAGCUCCUCCUCCCGCACAGCUUCUCCCAGAGUGCGGGCGAGCGGUGCAAACGCGUCGACGACACGAUAGGAACUAUGGAAG